RNAcentral lists this ribosomal RNA (448 nucleotides) under uncultured bacterium. RNAcentral describes it as "bacterial SSU rRNA". It matches the Rfam family "Bacterial small subunit ribosomal RNA", at positions 330 to 793 of the family's 1533-position model. The record is from RNAcentral.
CCCAGACUCCUACGGGAGGCAGCAGUGGGGAAUAUUGCACAAUGGGGGAAACCCUGAUGCAGCGACGCCGCGUGAGUGAAGAAGUAUUUCGGUAUGUAAAGCUCUAUCAGCAGGGAAGAUAAUGACGGUACCUGACUAAGAAGCCCCGGCUAACUACGUGCCAGCAGCCGCGGUAAUACGUAGGGGGCAAGCGUUAUCCGGAUUUACUGGGCGUAAAGGGUGCGUAGGUGGCAUGGCAAGUCAGAAGUGAAAGCCCGGGGCUCAACCCCGCGGACUGCUUUUGAAACUGUCAGGCUGGAGUACAGGAGAGGUAAGCGGAAUUCCUAGUGUAGCGGUGAAAUGCGUAGAUAUUAGGAGGAACACCAGUGGCGAAGGCGGCCUGCUGGACGAUGACUGACGUUGAGGCUCGAAAGCGUGGGGAGCAAACAGGAUUAGAUACCCCAGUAAG